Molecule: ribosomal RNA, 498 nt
Filed under: uncultured bacterium
Lineage: Bacteria
Description: partial 16S ribosomal RNA
Rfam family: Bacterial small subunit ribosomal RNA
Source: RNAcentral
GAUGAACGCUGGCGGCGUGCCUAAUACAUGCAAGUCGAGCGAACAGACGAGGAGCUUGCUCCUCUGACGUUAGCGGCGGACGGGUGAGUAACACGUGGAUAACCUACCUAUAAGACUGGGAUAACUUCGGGAAACCGGAGCUAAUACCGGAUAAUAUAAUGAACCGCAUGGUUCAAUAGUGAAAGACGGUUUUGCUGUCACUUAUAGAUGGAUCCGCGCCGCAUUAGCUAGUUGGUAAGGUAACGGCUUACCAAGGCAACGAUGCGUAGCCGACCUGAGAGGGGGGGGCGCCAACACGGAACGGAAACCCGGGCCAAACCCCCGGGGGGGGGCACAAGGAGGAAUUCUUCAGAAGGGGCGGAAGGCGAAACGGAACAGCGCGGGGGGAGGUAGAAGGUUUUUGGGAUCAAAAAACUUUUUUAUGGGGAAAAAAAAAAUGUGAAAGUAACAAUGCCCUUCUGGCCGUUCCCAAACAAAAAAGCCAGGCCAAACUCGGUC